RNAcentral lists this ribosomal RNA (449 nucleotides) under uncultured bacterium. RNAcentral's name for it is "partial 16S ribosomal RNA". It matches the Rfam family "Bacterial small subunit ribosomal RNA", at positions 29 to 523 of the family's 1533-position model. The record is from RNAcentral.
AGCGAACGCUGGCGGCAAGCUUAACACAUGCAAGUCGAACGAUGCAGCAAUAGAUAGUGGCGGACGGGUGCAUAACACGAGGGAACCUGCCCUUCAGUACGGAAUAACUCAGGGAAACUUGAGCUAAUACCGUAUAAUAUCUCCGGAUCAAAGAUUUAUCGCUGAAGGAUGAGCCCGCGGCAGAUUAGCUAGUUGGUGGGGGAAUGGACUACCAAGGGAACGAUCUGUUGCUGGUCUUAGAGGAUGAUCAGCCACACUGGGACUAGGACACGGCCCAGACUCCUACGGGAGGCAGCAGUGGGGAAUAUUGGACAAUGGGCGAAAGCCUGAUCCAGCUAUGCCGCGUGAGUGAUGAAGGCCUUAGGGUUGUAAAGUUCUUUUAGAUGGGAAGAUAAUGACGGUACCAUCAGAAAAAGCCCCGGCUAACUUCGUGCCAGCAGCCGCAGUAA